Brassica rapa (field mustard) is the source of this 12418-nucleotide long non-coding RNA. RefSeq lists it as uncharacterized. The record is from RefSeq and is a predicted model, not a curated record. Lineage: Eukaryota; Viridiplantae; Streptophyta; Magnoliopsida; Brassicales; Brassicaceae.
AGUGACGCAUUUUUUUAAAUCAAGCACGUAAAUAUUACCCUUAAAAUGUUAAUCUUUAGAAUACGCUUCCAAAUAUAGUAUUAAUUGGAUAUAACGACAAAAAUGAGCGGAGAAAUGUUUUGUAUUAUCUGCCGUCUUCGAUUUAAUUAAAUAAAUAACUUGAAAAUGACCGUUAAUGUUAAGAUACUUUCAAAAUUUACAAUAAAAAGAGGGAUUUGUCUCUGUUUUGCAGGCCUUUGUUUGGAGAUGUUUUCUGGUUAUCAAUGAUAAAAAUCUAACACUCAAAAUAUAAUCAGAUACUUGUGGAAACCUCCAAACCGUAAGAAAGAGGAGGCGGGGACUCUCUCUCCUCUCUUUUAGAGAGAGGAUUUUCUUUCUAUUUUCCUUGUUCUCAAAUUUAAUCUUUCACAAGGAGUAGAGAUAAGAGAGUUUUUCAGAUCGGUUUUUGCUUUCGGUGUCGCACUAUCUCCAUCGGUGGUCGGACGGCUCUGUCUCCAGGUAGCGGUGGCUCGUUCAGCACCAGCUUCGCCGGCUUUUGUCUCCGGGAGACGGUGGCUUCGUCAGCAUCGUUCUCGCCGGCUAUCCUCCAGGUGAUCCCGGUUUCAUCUUGAUAUGCGUCUCCGAUCUUCCUUCGUUCACUGUCUCUCGAUUCGUUUCUCUGAUGUUCUUUCCCUAAUUGUUUUUGGUUGUUGUAUCUUCAAGCUUUUAUGUAUCUAUAAAGAUGUCCGAUUGAGUUUGCAAGAAAGUCAGAGGGUUUCAAUCGAUUGUAUAGGCGGUUGUUGUUACUUCUUUGUUUCGCAGAUCCGCUAGUCUGUCUCCUCGGUUCGAGCUUCGUGUAAGCCGCUCUGGUUGAUCGGUUUCCGUUGCUUUGAUUCCACCGUCGGCGGAGCUCCGUCGCGACCUUCUCUAGCUCCGGUGGAAGCAUAUGGUAUUUCUGACGCGUGUUCAUUGAUCGUUGGGCAAUCGGACGCAUGGUGUGCGACGUGUCUCUUCUUCCUCAACGGAUUCCCCUUGUUUGGGCUUUGCCCCAUAGGGUAGUUUACGUUCUACGGCCCGCGUGUUGGGCUUUAUCUUCGGCCAGUUCCUUUGGCCUUUCAUUUGUAAAUUUGUUGGGUUGUUGCCUCUGUUGGACUUAAAUCCAUUUAAUAAAAUUCCAGUGAAAAAAAAAUCAGAUACUUGCAUGUAUAUUGAUAUUUUCAAAUUUUCAAAUUUUCAAAUGAUGGAAUAUGGAAAAAGACAAAUAACAUGUGCUUGUGAAUUAUUUUUUCGUAUUGAUCAGUUCAAGUAGUCGAUAAAAUUAUAAAUAUAACUUUUUUUUGGUAAGAAUGUAAAGAUAUUAUUACCAAACGUUUACGAUUUUGAAACAAAUUAUAGAGGUAACCAGAAACAGAGAAAACAAAAAUAAAAAUCUAAACAUCGACUCGAACUAGUUAACACGGAACAGACAAACACAACAACCAAAACCGCUAUCCUAAAUCUCCACUAAGUCCGCAACAACAGCUUGCCGCAAAAAAAAAUGAGCCAAGUUCAAUCGAGAGUCGGGACCCCAGUAAUUUUAGCCUCCCCGGUGAUCUGCUCUUAAAGAUAAUGACUCAUCCAAGAAGGCUUCAUAGCAGUAAACCACACAAACAAACAGUAUCAGCAGAGGCCUAACCUUCUGCAACAACCAAGUCCGAGCAUUUAUUACGUCCGAGAACGGCUUGUACACAAUGCUGCUCCGAGCUAAACGGGUUGCUCCCUUCGUACCUCCCACACCGAGCCCAGCCUGCACACAAUUGUCAAGCACACCACCACACAAAGCUCAAGCAAACCUAUGUGAUGUUGGGAUGUGAGCGAAGACCGAGCGUUAGGAAGUGGCGGUCAAUGACCCGAGAACCACCACACGCCCAUCACCGCCGAGAACCGACGAACUGAAAUUGGAGACGCUAGAACCGUUUCAUUCCAAGAACGGGAAUAAGAGAACAAGGCACAAUACAACGGAAUAGGAGCUGCGAAGAGGAGGACCGAAGGUGAGGAGGCCAAUCAGAAGGCCACUCAAGCGGCAUAGACGACCGCUCUUUAAACCUCUAACAUGACCAACGCGAUCCUGCCAGAGAGCUUAGACACCAACCCAUCUGCGUGUUGAAGCUCACGAACUCGCCGCCGUGGUAGAGAAACCCACCAGCACACACCACACUAAGGAGGAGAACUCUCACGUUCGAGAAACCAACGAGAGCCACCCUCCAGAGCCUAAAGACCCCUGGCCAGGAACAGCGAACCGCCGAAGACCGGGAACACACAUAGAUGCGCUCCUUCUCACAGACAGAGUAAGUCGGUCGAGAUCUGCUAGAGAGAAAAUUGAUCUCCACCAAACCCUAAAAUCCAACUACAACCACCACCAAGUGGCGGACCCAGCAUGCAAUUUGUGUGGGGUCAGAAUAUAAAUAACACUGUAAAGUUUUUAAGAAAAAUAUUAAGGUGUCACUGGGUUGAAUCGAACCCAAUAUUUGUGGGUUCAUAAGUGCACUUUCUUACCACUAAGCCACAGUUUAUUAAUAAAAAACCAGCUCACAAACUAAAAUUUAUAGCAUUUAUGUGGUGUCAGUUGACCCCACACUCUUUCAAGUGGGUCCGCCCCUGCCACCACCUACUUCUCGACCUUCUCGCCAUAGUUCCAGAGAUACCUGAUGAACCACCGUAAUCAAACCCCUCUGCAGCGGAGCAUUUUCCGGGGUCAAACCCUAACCCAAAACUACAAACAUAUCGAAAGAGAGCAAGGCAGAUGGAGCGGCAACAAAGUGAGAAGAGACAGCUAGAUGAAGGAGCCUCUGGUCGCCGGAACGCGCCACCAGGCGCCAUCCGGACUGGGGGAAAUGAGCUUCAACAAUGACGUCUGCAACAGAUAAGGUGGAGAGAGAAGAGAGCGUCUUUACGACAUUACUUGAACAUGAUUAAAAGGUAAUUAUAAAUUAUAAAUGUAACUUAAGCGAACUCCACUGAAUGCUUAUACGAACAUAACAUAUUAGUAUUUUUUCAGCCCUCAAGUCUUAAGCUUUUAAAAUGAUCAUGUCAAGCUUCCUUUUUGACGACACAUAUUUAGUUAGGUUAUAUAUAUAUGAAGGCUACAUCUCUAUAUAAAAUAAGUUAUAAGCAAUAUAAAAGAAGUUAAUGUUCAAUAUAUAUAUAUAUAAGAAGUUAUUUAUGUUGCGCUUUGAAAGGUCUAAUUGAGCUUGAUCGUGGCCAAACGGAUAUGUGAGUAUAAAAAAGCCUUACACGCAAAAACACAACACGUCUAUACACACACACAUACAUACGGGCCUACUAACAGGGCCGGCUCUUACCCAUGGCAACAUGGACAUUCGCUGUGGGUCUAUGGGUCCAAAUAUUUUUUGUGUUGUUUUAAAGGUCUAUUUCAAUCUGUUAAAUUAUCAAAAAGAUUCGUAAUUAAGUAAACCUAAUUUUUUUAUUACAAGACAAAACAAUAAGAAAUCUGUACAUUCACUAUUAGUUUUGGGAUAUUUUUUUCUAUUUGUUUCAGGUAAUGUUUUGAAAACCGAACCGGACGUUGACUCGACAUUGUAAUUGGGUCAAUGGUCGGACCGGUCCAACCAGUUCAACUGGGUUUUAAAUUUUAAUUAAAUUUUAUAUUAAGUAACUCUUAUAUUUAUAACAUAAAAUUAUUUUUAUAAAAUUUUAUAUAAUUUUUAGAAUUUAAAAAUGAUAUAAAAACAAAAUUAAAAAAAUAUAUAAAAUAAUGAAAAUAAUUUAUUUCGAUAGAUACUUAGAAAAAAAUAUGAAUUUUUUAUGAAAUCUUUUUAAAUUUUCAGUUUAAAAAAAUACUUGAAUUUGAAAAAAACAUGGUCUUAAUAUGGAACCAGAUCACCGGUUUUAACGAGUUUUACCGGUUUUUUACCGGGUUUGCCGGUUUUACUCAAAUCCGGUUUUUAGUAUAACUCAAAACCAGAUAGAUGGCCGAGUCAUGGUCUGGCCGGUCCAAUCGGCCGGUCUAGUCCAGGCAUUCGAUCUGGUCUAGUUUUCAAAAUACUAGUUUCAGGUAUUAGAAUUCAAUUUAAAAGAAAUGCACUGAAGAAAAAUAUAGAGAGUAUUUAUAAAAGAAUCUAUAUUUCAUGUUUCGCUCAGAGCUAUUAUAUUAGUUAAGACGGCACUAGCUACUGCAUCGACAUACAAAAAUUUAUUUAAAGCAUCGACACAAAUUUGUAUAAUUUUUUUUGCUAAAUGACAACUUUGCAUAAUUGAGAUAUAUACAAUUACAUACACUAAUUAAUAUAUGAGUAACGUUUUGUAAGAUCAGUCGUGACAUGGUCUUCACAAAAGAGAAGCCGGCAGUGGCGUAUCUUCGUCCUUGAAUUAUAUAUAAGACCAACCAUUCUUAGAAAAUCUAAAAACAAAACGUUUAUCCACUUAUUUGGUCCCUUCAAAAAUAAGAGAAGAACGAAAUGAAUGUAACUUUCACUAUGCAUGUACUCCUCUUAUUAUGUGCAUUCCCCUCAUUCAUUAUCAUCUGCAUCAAUCUGAAAUGCUACAUGCACUAGUGAUCAGGGGCGGAUGCAGAAUCAUAUUUAAAUGGGGGUACACGUUCUUAUUUCAUUAUGUUUAAUUGUAGAAUUAGAGAGCAUUUCUUGUAUUGAUAGUAACUACUGAAGGAAAAGAAAAAAAUAGAUGGGGGCACGUGACCCCGUUGCUCCUCACUUGCGUCCGCUACUGCUAACGAUUGUGGAUAGAAGUUGGAGAAGCAUAUGCCUUAAACUCUCUUACAAUCGGUAAAAAAAAACUAAUAAAUGUUAAACUGUAAAAUAAAAUAAUAUAUACAAAAGGUCAUAUUAAAGAUCACUUACUAUUAUAAGGAAGAGGUAUAUAAUCAAAUAUAUAGUUAAACUUUUGAGAUUUGUUUACAGUUAGUAGUUAGUAUACAUAUAUAAUACUGUAUUUUCGUAAUGGUUAUUAAAUAUCACUUCUGAUAUACGAGAAGUAUAUACACUAUAAAGUCUUGUAAAAACUACUGUAAAAGUAAUAUCAAAUAUGGAUAAGGUGAGUCACUGCCACGCAUGUUGUCGAGUACGUACGGUUAAGAAGCCCCAUCAUUCUUUAUGGCUCCGAAUGGUAACUACAGUUUGAGCAAUGCGGGACAAGCGGUUUAACUGCGGUACGGUUUUAACAGUUAUAAAAACGUAUAGAUAUAUGGUAUAUGUAGAGAUUUUUGUUACUGUUAACUGCGGUGCGGGGCGGGGCGGUUCGUAACAUUCGAAGCCUAUGUUUUUUAAAAAACGUCACUGAUACGAGAUACGACUAUCAGUACUUUACUCCCUCUUUUUCACAUUAUAAGAUUUUUUUUUUUUUGGUAAUCUUUCACAUUAUAAGAUGUAAUGGAUAAAACACAAAGUUAUAAGAACAUCUUUAUCUAAAAUAUAUCAUUAAAAUACAAAUUAAAAAUUGAUUCAACCAAUCGUAAAAAGAUUGUAAGAUGUAAUCAGUUAAAUAAAGUUAAAGUUGCUUUUUUUUUUGAACGACCAUAAUAUUAAUUAGAAGAAGGGCCGUAGAAAGGCAGAGCAGAGUUUGAGUGGUACAAGGCUGAUUUCGCUAAAGAGUCAGCGUGGAGUUCAAGCUCCUAUGAAUGAAAACAAACAUAACUAAGGAAAAAGCAGAGGAUAGUGUCUCGAUGUCCAAGUUGAUCCCGUAGAGCACGACUGGAUGAUUCUUCGAGAUUAGUGCAUUGAUAAACACUUGAUUAUCUGACUUGAUGCAGAUUUUAGAGAGGUGGAAUGUUCUAGCCUGCAGGAGAGCUUCUCGGACUGCCAUGGCUUCAGCCAUAAGUGGUUAGACCACGAAGGCUUCUGAUGAUGUUCCGUGAUGAUGGGAACCGGUUUCCUGGUCUGUGUAGUACCAACCGCAUCCCGCUACCCUAUAGAUCUCCAUGCCGCAUCCGUGUACACAUCAAUAGUUCCCGCUAAUCGGUGUGGGUGUACUUGCCUUGUGAUGCUGUGUGACUGAUAUUGCGGCGUGUGGUGUUUUGAUUGCCACUCUCGGGCCAGACGAAUAGCUUUGUUCGCAAUAGCUUUUGGAGAAGGUCCAAGUUCUCGAAAAUCAAGGAGUUGCGUGAGGUCCAAAUGCUCCAAGCGAACCAUGGGAAUAGAGCCAAAGAUACACCCGUUGGGGGUAAAUUGGUGAGGUUGUUUCCUAGUUGCAGGGCCUGUUCGACGUUCAUAGUUGGAAGUAUAGUGAGGGGUGUUGUUGUUGGCAGAAAUUCCCAUACUCUCUUGGUGAAUCUGGAACUAUGGUGUCGCACUAUUUCUCCAUCAAACUAUUGCCUCGUUUCAUUUCCCCACCAAACGAAAGUUAAAUAUCUAUAUACCCACCAUAUCAAAGUUAAAUAUCUCUUUCCCCAUCCGACCAAUUUCGAUGGUUAAAUGUCGAAACCCCAGUACCAAACCAUCAAACCUCCGUUAGUAAACCGAAGGAAAACCCAAAUAUUGCUAAACCGGACCUAUAUCUCGGUGAUAACCCGACACAACGGUCAAAAAUCCCAAAUCUAAAAAAUCCCAAAUUGGUAAGAACCCUAGAAAAAACUGUAGAAUGUGAAUCUCAGAGUUCUUCUUCUUCUUUUCUUAUUGUCGAGUGCUUAUUGCUUUUUGUUCUUAAUCUCUUCUCACUUUGUGUUAAUUUUCAGAUCUAAAGCCAUGAGUAACGUGUCUGGAGCAUCUAGUGGUUCGUCAAGUGGACGUUCUGGAGGCAGAGUGUUUGGUGUGCCGAGACUUUGUCAUUGUGGGGUUCAAAUAAUGGAAUUGGUUUCUAAAUCCAGCAACAAUCCGUACCGGCGUUACUAUCGUUGCGGAUAUGCUGUAUCUAAGAAGGUAAUUUGAUUAAUCCUUGCUUCUUCUUCAUUGUAUUAGUUAAUGUUUUCUUUUCAUAAUUUUUUGUCUAAAUAAUGCACAGCUCUCGAAUGACAACCACACUUUCAAGUGGGUCGAUGAGGCUUAUUUAGAUGAGAUAGAGGCAUUAAAAAUGAAAAAUGCUUCACUUGCGGCAAAACUGGAGACAGUUACAAUGGAGAGGAAUGAGUUUGAGAGAAUAGUGUUUGAGAAUGUGCAAAUGAAGCUUGAGAAGGAGAUUUUCGAGAGAGUUGAAGAGGCUUUGGUUGAAUCAUCUUCUACGAUGAAGAAAAUGAUGGUUGUUGUAGUUGUUUUGUGUAUGGGCAUGGUUGGGUUUAGUAAGCUCUUUGGUUGAAAAGGUUUAUAUAGGAAUGACCUUUGUUUUAGUAAUCUUGUGUUUUGUGUGUUUGAUCAUUGUGGUUUGUGUACUUUGACAUGGUUUCAAUUUUAUUAAUGCAAUGACUUUGUCUAUUUUAAGAUGAUUGUUAAGCCUAUUUUAUUCAGUAGAAUGCAAUGAUUUUAAAGAAAAUAUACAAGCUUUUAGUUGCAGUAACAAAGAUAAUAUGAAGUGCAAAACAAAGAUAGAUAAAUGUCAUUACAUUACAUGGAUCCAAGACCAUUAAGUUCAAAACCACAGAUAUAUGUCAUUACAUAGCUGUCGAAAAUUAAGUUCAAAACAAAAGAUAAUAGAUGCCAUUACAUAUCAAAUCAUUCAAGCUUGAGAAACACUAGCUUGAGUGAGAGUUCCUUGUGAGGAUUCACCUGCAGUUUGAGAUGUGCUUACCGGUACCGAAUCAUCAUGCUUGCCCUGCUUUGCAUGCCACCUCGAGUUGUGAUUAGCCUUACCACAAAUGCCACAAUGCAUAGUCAUUUUCUUGGCUUUUGGUAGCUUCUUGGUUGGUGACUCAUUCACACCUCUUUUCCUUGUCUUAUCCGCUUUGGUGAGCUUCUUCUUCUUCUUCCCUGUUUCUUUCCCUCGUUCUCCCUCUGUUUCUUCCCCUUGUUCAUCCUCUACAGGUGGAGCAUGUACAUCAGGAGCAUCUGUUUUGGGCCAAAACAUAGAACCCCUGACUGGAACAAUUCCAUCUGUGUAGUUUCUUCUCCAUUUAGCCGUGCGAAACCACUCACAAACAUAGUCUGACGGAUCAACCUUUAACUUCAGCAUCACACCAUAUGCAUGCUUACAUGGAAUUCCAGUGAUGUCGAACUUCCUGCACGAACAAGUUCUUUUCUCCAAAUGGACACGAUAAGUUUGGCCAUUCAAUCUUGAGUCAAAGUAGCCUUUAACGCUUCUUCUAACAACACAUUUGUUGGCUCCGUCUUUAAGGGGCUUAUCAACAAGAGCCUUAGCGAGAACUCUCUGCACAUAUGGUGUACAUUUUCCUGACAAAGAGAGAGCCAAUUAAGUUAACUGAAUUUAUAUUUUUUAGAUAUUAGAAGUAUUGAAAAAAACUUACCUUGGUGUUCAUGAGAUUCUCUGGAUCUUGUGGCUAUACGUACCAUAGCAAGUCUUGCUAUUGUUUCGAGCAUAUGCACAAAUGGCUUCUCUCUUGCCUUGUUGAUGGAGCUGUUAAAGGACUCUGUCGAGUUGUUCUCCACAUCUUCGCAGUAAUUUCCCAGCUUGAAGAAAGCUCGGCACCAACUCUUCGGAUUUUUAGCCAUAACAUCUGUAUACACACAUGUAUCGUAGGAACUUAACCUGUCCAAGUUUUUCUGAUACUUUGCUUCAUUGUAGCUCCAUGCUACACUCCAUAUGUAAGACUUCAUCUGUUUUUUGUUGCCAUGUUUCUUCUUCAAAUUCCCGUAGAUGUGUCUUACACACUUCCGAUGCUCCAUCUUAGGCAACUCUAUCUUAAUAGGUCUGAUCAAUCCCUGAUACAGAACCACAAACUUAAUCAAACAACAACAUAAAGAAACAGUGAUUUCAACCAAAAAAAAAACAAAAAACUUACCGGGCUACGGUCUGAGACAGCAAUGUAGUUGUCACCAUCCUUUAGAUCCAAAUCAACCUUCAGUUUUUGCAUAAACCAUUGCCAAUUCUCGUUAUUUUCCACCUUUACAACAGCCCAAGCUAUUGGAUAAAUUGCAUUGUUUGCAUCUCUACCUAAAGCAACCAAUAACUGUCCCUUGAUUCUUUCUUUGAGGAAGCAACCAUCAAGUCCUAUCAAUGGCCUACAACUCUCCUUCCAAGUAUUCCUGAGGGCGUCAGAGCAAAUAUAGAUUCGAUUGAAGACAUCUUGACCUUCAUCAUUCUGGAACGUGUCUACUUCAACAGAAGAACCAGGAUUUGAUUCUACUAUCUCGGCAGCAUAAUCUUUAAGGCGUGCAAACUGUUGAUCAUGUUCACUCUUAAUCCACUUCAAAGCUUUAUUCCUACCAGCUUAACACUGAGGCCUAGACACACUAAUAGACCAAAUUGCCAUGAUCAAUUCCUCGAUCUUCAUAGGCAUAUAGUAUGCCGGCUCUUCACGGAUCUUGUUCACAAACAACCUAGCUAUCACAGGGACCUUCACCAUCUCACACUCUCCAUUAACCUCACAUGUGUGGUUAUCUACAAACAACCUAACUCUCCAAAUUUUAUCCCUCGGAAGGAUCGAAGCAUAAAUUUUCCAGCCACAAGCUUCAUCAUUCUCACCAUGACCAGCACAUUCGAAACCAAGCUUAUCCUUAUCAUACCUGUAUUGUCUGAUAUUGCAGCGAGUCCUAAGAGCAUAAUCGAGGACUCUGUCUUUGAAAGCCACACCAUUGAAGAAUGUCUGGUCUCGGUACAAAUGCCCAUCACCACGGCAUAUAUGCGUCCUCAUUCUCUGUGGGGCUUCAGGAUCUUCUUCUUCCUCAUUAUCUUCAUCACUCUCAGGCAAGACGUCAUGCUGAAUUGGCGGCUCACUCACGAAAUUUCCCAACAAUUCGUCGAGUUCAAACUCUUCUCGCUCAACUUCUUCAUCAUCAAUUUCGAACUCUCCUUCGCCGAUUAUAGGUACUACAGACAUGGUAAACACGAAUUCAAUCGAUUUCUUGUUGUUUUCUCUCAGGAAUUCUCUCCCACUCUCUCUAUUUCACGUUCUAGGGUUCUUGGGUUUUUGAUUUGGGGAUUUUUUGGGUUUAGAUAGAUUAGGAUGGUUAAGUCGGGUUAAAAAUAAUUAAGUUCGGUUAAGUCGAGAUUCGGUAUUACUAACCCGUCUUAACCAAACUAAUUAACCAACUAAACAUGGUUUUAUGUGGAUUUGAGUGUUUAACUUUUGUCGGGUGGAGAAAGAGAUAUUUAACUUUGAUAUGGUGGGUAUAUAGAUAUUUAACUUUCGUUUGGUGGGGAAAUGAAACGAGCCAAUAGUUUGAUGGAGAAAUAGUGCGACACCAUAGUUCCGGUGGGGAAAUAGAUCGCCAGCCCGUGAAUCUGCAGUGUACAAAAAGAUGAUCUGCCAUUUCUGUGUCUCCAGAGCGAGCACAUUUCACAUUGGUAGAUAAGAUUCCAUGACGUUGAAGUGCCUCCCCAAGUGGUAGUGCAUCUUGAAAGAUUUUCCACAUGAAGAUUUGCAUCUUUGGGGCUGUUUUACUGCCCAUGUAUUUAAAGUUAAAGUUGCAUAAAAUUCAAAAUAUCUUAUAUUUCGAAACACCAAAAAUAUUUCAAAACUUCAUAUAUAAUGAAACAAUAUAUAAGUGAACGUACGUAUACUAUUAUUAUUAUUUAUUUUUGCACAUAUUAUUAGCAUUAGUUACUUAGAGCAUGUUCAAUGGUAAAACUCUUAAAUGUCUCUUAAGUGGGAUCAGAUAAAGAGAGACAAACAAAAGAUGAAGAAGUAGUGGAAGCAACGUCCCUUUCUUUGCUUAAAUAAGGUACGUCCCUUCUCUUUUUUUUCUUUUUCUUCUUUAUUUUAAUUGUAAUUAUGCUUAACAACCCUUCUUCAACGGACACCAAUAAACCUGCUCUUAGCUUUUAUUGUAUUUGCUGAAAAAAAAAGUUACUUGUAUUUAUAUUAACCGGAAGAUUCAUUCGUGUAAGAUAGUAAAAUCCAGCGUCACAUAAACUUAUGACACUAAACAUAUGAACAGAACAAAUUUUACUCCUAAAAUUAUGGACCUAGAUUCUUGAAUAAAACAAUUUUUCAAUUUUCUACUUUCAAUUGCUUACCCUAAUGACCUAACCAUUCAAACCCGCUAAGUGUCAGUUUAGUUAAUGCGUAGAUGUAAUGACUAAUGAAUGAAAAAUUAGUCUAAAAUUGAUAUCUAUUCUAUUAAAACAGCAGUGUGACCCAUUGAUAAAAGUAGAGUCCAAUUAUUAUUUUUCCAAAAAACUGAUUAUUUUAUAACUGCUUAUAUUAAAUAACUAAUCACGUUUUUUGUCUAUAACAAUCAGUUAUGUUUCUUCAAUCACAACAAUGUCGGAUUCAUUGAUUUAGAUUUUAGACCUGAUCAAAACGCGUCCAUGGUGAUCGAUUCUCUGGCGAUUAUACGUUCCAUGGUGGUUCACUGUGUUGAUUUGUCAUAAUCGGACAAGAAAUCAGAAAAUUUAAAGUAACUGACUUUUUGCAUUUUAAAAGGUUGAAAUCAGAUAUUUUGUAAUGGAUUACAAGUUUAAGGCAUAAACAACAAGAAAAACUUAAAAGUUGAUCGAUUAUGAAAGUAUGGUGGCCAUUGAAAUGUUGCAGAGAAUUCUAAAAUAUUCUUAGGGAAGGUGGAAAUAUUUACAAAUAUGCCACUCAAAAAAAAAAAAAAACAAUACACACUACAUAAAUAUAUCUAUCGAAUACAAUAGUGUAAAAUGGCCCAAGCUUCCAACAGACCAAGAUUAUACUGUAUAUAUUAAAAAAACCUCUUUCUUAACUUAAUAUAUAACUACAUUUAUCUGAAACUUAAGAAAUAUAUUAUAAGAAAUAUUAAAUAUUUUGGAAUAUAUAUAAUAUUAAAUAUAUAUAUAUAUAUAUAUAUAUAUAUAUAUAAACCGGUGGAAAUAUAUUUUUUAAGUUUGUUUACUAUAAAAUGAAACUUUAAAAGUUAACUCAUAAAGUUAACUAAUAUUUUUUCAAACAGAAAAAGUUAACUAUAUUAAUAUUAAUUAGUGGUGGAACGGGUUAUUAAUGACAUUUAAUCUUUAUAAGUGAACUUUUAAUAGAAAUAAAUAUUCAUAUAAACUCAAUUAGUUUAACGGGGUUUUAAUAAGUUAUUCAAUUUAGAAAUCUAAUCUAUUAAAACAGCAGUGUGACCUAUUGAUAAAAAUAGUGUCCAACAAUUAUUUUCAUAUAUCAAUAUUAUUAAAACACAAUUAACACUAACUACUUUGUACGCUAAAUAACUUCCACUAUAAACUCCUAAAUAAUCGGGACCCACUUUUUAUAUAGCUAAAAAUGCUGAGUUACUUUAAUUCCAUAGUUUUCGUUCUUAUGUAAUAGUUUUCUAUAGCCACGUCAUUUUUAAUACAAUUAAUGCCAUAUCAUUUCAUCAAAAAAAAACUACCCAGUAAAAACUAUUUGAAACGAUGAAGAUAUCCAAUACGAUGUCAUCUAAAGAAGAGUAAAAUAUAUUUAUUUUUAUUUUAGCAUUUUAUUAGAAAUAAA